AAGAGAGAAGAGCUUGGAAAGAGGAGGCAGGAGAGGGAGCAGGCAGAGGGCACUGUGUGGAGUAAUGGAAAUCGCCUGGGGUCCCCACCCUGCAUCUGGGACAACUCAUUAGUAAGAAACACUCACCUGGCCCAACCAAGAGCAGCUGGUGGCAUCUUGUGUUAGCAGAGACACUAACUCUCUGCCCUCCUCCCCAGACCAGCACCACACCCUCUAUUGCUGCUUCAGUAAAUAGGCCCUGCUCAGUGGCUUAAAUGACAGACAUGUUGUUUUCCAGCCAGGCCCAGACCAAGCUCCAGGAACUCUGCUUGGGACCUGCCCACAGCUUCUAGGGCUCAAACUUCAGGCCUUUCUACCCUUGGUUCCUCAGACAUCUUUAAGUACAACCUCAGGAGCGAGCAUCUUUCUUCUCGAGCUGGAAGCUGCGGGGGAGUGUUUGACUGGAGGGGCUGGGACGCAUGCUUCUGAAGGAGGACCCUGGCCGUGUCUGAAUAGAUCGGAAGGACUCGAGAGCUGGAGUGUCGGGACUGGAGAGAUACCUCACGGGCAAAAUGUAAUGCGGCCCUUACCGAAGUCUGAGUUGAUGGUAGAAUAGCCAACGAUGUUGGAGACCAUGAGCUCUGCCUUCGGAGAGUCUUAUAAGCCACCCCAGACACAAGCCUCCAUGUUCACACUUGCCAAUAGAUGCAGCCCACACUCAGUUCAUUGCAUUCUUCUGUGUCAAAGACUG
This 730-nucleotide long non-coding RNA is filed under the name Mus pahari (shrew mouse). Its description in RNAcentral is "predicted gene 12298 (MGP_PahariEiJ_G0002555.1)". The record is from RNAcentral. Lineage: Eukaryota; Metazoa; Chordata; Mammalia; Rodentia; Muridae.